Molecule: ribosomal RNA, 451 nt
Filed under: uncultured bacterium
Lineage: Bacteria
Description: bacterial SSU rRNA
Rfam family: Bacterial small subunit ribosomal RNA
Source: RNAcentral
UACGGAAGGAGCAGUGGGGAAUAUUGCACAAUGGGCGCAAGCCUGAUGCAGCCAUGCCGCGUGUAUGAAGAAGGCCUUCGGGUUGUAAAGUACUUUCAGUCGUGAGGAAGGUGUUAAGGUUAAUAACCUUAGCAAUUGACGUUAGCGACAGAAGAAGCACCGGCUAACUCCGUGCCAGCAGCCGCGGUAAUACGGAGGGUGCGAGCGUUAAUCGGAAUUACUGGGCGUAAAGGGCACGCAGGCGGUUAAUUAAGUUGGAUGUGAAAUCCCCGGGCUUAACCUGGGAAUGGCAUUCAAGACUGGUUAGCUAGAGUCUUGUAGAGGGGGUAGAAUUCCAUGUGUAGCGGUGAAAUGCGUAGAGAUGUGGAGGAAUACCGGUGGCGAAGGCGGCCCCUGGACAAAGACUGACGCUCAUGUGCGAAAGCUGGGGAGCAAACAGGGAUUAGAUACC